CAUCUUGGUCCGGCCGCGCCGGGCAGGCGCCGGUGAUCCCGGCACAAGCCCGCGGAACCGGGGGCGGCUCGGUGUGUUCGUCCUUGUGCCUUAGCCCAGCUGCGUAUCUGCGUGUGUAUCUGUGUAUUUCACAUUCGUACAGCACUUCUCAUCUUUGUGUAGUCAAACGCCCAGGCAGACCAGCGCUUCAUUUCUGAUGAGAAGGCAGCCAUCCAAAAAUCAGCUUAAUGAAAAUGCUGUAUCUCACUGCGCUAUUCCCACCGUACGCCACUGAUGAACGAGAGCUCUGCACGAGACGUAAACCAAAGACCCUGGAAUCAGCAUCGCGUGCGGCACAAGCUCUGUUCCCUUCUUACAUCGCAAAGUCAUAAGAUGGAGCAUGGAUCCCUGCUUGGCUGUUGGCAUAAGAUAGUAUGUCCUCAGCCACGAUGGUUGGAAUUCACCUUCCCUAACCCUUACCAUCUAAAAGUUAAGAUGAGGUUAAUGUACAGUCUAAAGUACAACAGCUGGUCCCUUCUUCAGUUUGUGGAGAAGACCCCGUCUCUAGUACUAGUGAAAUAGUAACCGUAUGCCUACCACCUUUUCCCACGACCCAGACGUUAAGUAUGGGUUAUGAUCUCAUUCCCAGGAACCACGGAAAUACAAGAAGUGGUAGUACAUGAGUAUGAACAAGUAGAAUAUAGACCCUUAUUCUUCCUGAGGAAAGUUCAACUUUAAAUUUGGCUCCGGGGAAUCAGGAAUGGUUUAUCUUCUGCUGGUACUUGUCUCAUCCUGUAGAAUAAACUGACAUUGAAAUGCUUUG
Aptenodytes forsteri (emperor penguin) is the source of this 802-nucleotide long non-coding RNA. RefSeq lists it as uncharacterized. The record is from RefSeq and is a predicted model, not a curated record. The transcript has 3 exons. NCBI's taxonomy places the organism in Eukaryota, Metazoa, Chordata, Aves, Sphenisciformes, Spheniscidae.